Acyrthosiphon pisum (pea aphid) is the source of this 1272-nucleotide RNA transcript. It is a transcript of the gene named receptor expression-enhancing protein 5-like, with no coding region annotated. The record is from RefSeq and is marked provisional. The transcript has 7 exons. NCBI's taxonomy places the organism in Eukaryota, Metazoa, Arthropoda, Insecta, Hemiptera, Aphididae.
ACGUUGCAACUCGGCAGCCGAUUCAAGGUUAUCUGUGUAAAAGUGGUUACGGUAUAUAAUAUACCAGCCUGUAUUCUGCCACCGUUAUCUUUCCUUACGAAUUUAUGACUAUGCCAUAGGUUACUACAAUAUUUACCUUUGUGAUUGCUGAUGAUAUAUUUAUUAUAAUAUUAUUUAUAUAUCCAGCGAAUAGUCUACUGUUUUAUUUCGAGACUCGUCUAGUCGUGACUCGUUACCACUACAAGCACAGAAUAGAGUGGUCCGUGUCCGACGUUCGGGUUUUUCAACAACUAGACUGGCCGCCGGGUUUUAAACUUUCAGUGAUUUUGUGUAAAUUUUAUACUAGUAUAAUAUACUUUAUAGAUUCAGUUUUCAAAAAAAUCAGGUUACGUCGAAUAGCAGCCUACAUAGUAUUUGUAGCUCUUCUGUCAAGUCAAUCAAAGAUUUUAAUAUGGCAGUUCACCUUGAUUCAGCUAAAUCAGCCAUCAAAGAUUCAUUAUAUGAUGAAUCUAAACCCUGGUGUAAAAUUUUCGGUUGGGCUGAAGCACAAACAGGAAUCAAUAGACUGAAUUUAUUUAUUGGUUUGGCGGUGUUUCUUGUAUUCUACUUAUUAAUUGGAUAUGGAACCUUGUUGUUAAGUAAUUUGAUUGGCUUUUUAUACCCAGCAUAUGCAUCAAUUAAAGCGGUUGAAUCUAGUGGGAAAGAUGAUGACACAAAAUGGUUGACAUAUUGGGUGGUAUUUUCAUUUAUUACACUUAUUGAGUUACCAGCUGCAAUUUUACUAAGCUGGAUUCCAUUUUAUUCUUUAAUCAAAACAAUCUUUUUUGUGUGGUGUUUUAUACCAAUCAGCAAUAAUGGUUCUGUGGUUGUAUAUAAUAGAUUUAUACGUCCAUACUUUUUAAAACAUCAAGGAGAUAUUGAUCAAGCAGUAAAUGAUCUUUCCAAAAAAGCUUCUGAUGUUGCAUUUGAGAAGUUAGUUACUGCAAAAGUCAAUUAAAUAAUACAAUUAGUUUUGGGGUUAAAAUUUGUUGAACAUUCAUUAUAAAGGUUUCAUCAAUAAAAUUGAAAAGGGUACAAACAAGAACUAAAUUCAUUUUACAAGUAAUUUUAUUUUUGGUUUUUUAUCAACAGUUAUUUAUUAGAAUAUUAUGACAAAAACUGUUUAAAUUAUCAAUGUGAAGUGUUAUUAUAUUAUAUUUUUAAAUUUCAUUAAGUUUUCUAUUUCUGUAAGAUAUAAUUUCAUAAGUGAUAAUAAAAUAUUUUUAAACCUUA